Molecule: ribosomal RNA, 301 nt
Filed under: uncultured bacterium
Lineage: Bacteria
Description: partial 16S ribosomal RNA
Rfam family: Bacterial small subunit ribosomal RNA
Source: RNAcentral
CAGCCGCCGCGGUAAUACGAAGGGUGCAAGCGUUAAUCGGAAUUACUGGGCGUAAAGCGUGCGUAGGCGGUUUGUUAAGUCUGCUGUGAAAUCCCCGGGCUCAACCUGGGAAUGGCAGUGGAUACUGGCUCGCUAGAGUGUGUCAGAGGAUGGUGGAAUUCCCGGUGUAGCGGUGAAAUGCGUAGAGAUCGGGAGGAACAUCAGUGGCGAAGGCGGCCAUCUGGGACAACACUGACGCUGAGGCACGAAAGCGUGGGGAGCAAACAGGAUUAGAGACCCGUGUAGUCCCUGUCUCUUAUAC